AACUGUCUCCGUCGCAGGCUCCGGCGGGGGCGCAGGAGGUCGCCCGGCGCGUCACUGUCGGGUCGGCGAGCCACGGGGGCCGCCGCAGCACCAUGGCGACCACCGUCAGCACUCAGCGCGGGCCGGUGUACAUCGGUGAGCUCCCGCAGGACUUCCUCCGCAUCACGCCCACACAGCAGCAGCGGCAGGUCCAGCUGGACGCCCAGGCGGCCCAGCAGCUGCAGUACGGAGGCGCAGUGGGCACCGUGGGCCGACUGAACAUCACAGUGGUACAGGCAAAGUUGGCCAAGAAUUACGGCAUGACCCGCAUGGACCCCUACUGCCGACUGCGCCUGGGCUACGCGGUGUACGAGACGCCCACGGCACACAAUGGUGCCAAGAAUCCCCGCUGGAAUAAGGUCAUCCACUGCACGGUGCCCCCAGGCGUGGACUCGUUCUAUCUCGAGAUCUUCGAUGAGGUGAGAGGGACGUGCCAGCUAUUAUGGAGGCCGCACGUGGCUGAGCGUGGCUGCCGUGGGAACACGCCUGCCGACACAGCCACGUUCCUGGCUGGCUUCGAUGCGUGGCUCCCCACCUGGUGUUUCAUUGGG
This 590-nucleotide small RNA is filed under the name Pongo abelii (Sumatran orangutan). RNAcentral's name for it is "retained intron". The record is from RNAcentral. Lineage: Eukaryota; Metazoa; Chordata; Mammalia; Primates; Hominidae.